This 426-nucleotide ribosomal RNA is filed under the name uncultured bacterium. RNAcentral's name for it is "partial 16S ribosomal RNA". It matches the Rfam family "Bacterial small subunit ribosomal RNA", at positions 355 to 774 of the family's 1533-position model. The record is from RNAcentral.
UGGGGAAUAUUGGACAAUGGGCGAAAGCCUGAUCCAGCCAUGCCGCGUGUGUGAAGAAGGUCUUCGGAUUGUAAAGCACUUUAAGUUGGGAGGAAGGGCAUUAACCUAAUACGUUAGUGUUUUGACGUUACCGACAGAAUAAGCACCGGCUAACUCUGUGCCAGCAGCCGCGGUAAUACAGAGGGUGCAAGCGUUAAUCGGAAUUACUGGGCGUAAAGCGCGCGUAGGUGUUUGUUAAGUUGGAUGUGAAAUCCCCGGGCUCAACCUGGGAACUGCAUUCAAAACUGACUGACUAGAGUAUGGUAGAGGGUGGUGGAAUUUCCUGUGUAGCGGUGAAAUGCGUAGAUAUAGGAAGGAACACCAGUGGCGAAGGCGACCACCUGGACUAAUACUGACACUGAGGUGCGAAAGCGUGGGGAGCAAACA